This 314-nucleotide ribosomal RNA is filed under the name uncultured eukaryote. RNAcentral describes it as "partial 18S ribosomal RNA". It matches the Rfam family "Eukaryotic small subunit ribosomal RNA", at positions 1470 to 1796 of the family's 1831-position model. The record is from RNAcentral.
CCCUUAGAUGUCCGGGGCCGCACGCGCGCUACACUGAAGGAAUCAGCGUGGCUUUCUCCCUGACCCGAAAGGGUUGGGAAACCCGUUGAAUCUCCUUCGUGAUAGGGAUUGGGGCUUGAAAUUGUUCCCCAUGAACGAGGAAUUCCCAGUAAGCGCGAGUCAUAAGCUCGCGUUGAUUACGUCCCUGCCCUUUGUACACACCGCCCGUCGCUCCUACCGAUUUUGAGUGGUCCGGUGAACCUUCUGGAUUGUGCGGCUUGCCGCGCGAGAAGUUAUGUAAACCUUAUCACUUAGAGGAAGGAGAAGUCGUAACA